GAUUUCAAGUCAUAGACUGGGUUGAAGAAGAUGUCUGUGCCAUAAUAACAAGGAAGGGUUUUGUUUUUCCCAAGAAGUGUUACAUUCCCAAUUACUGGAUUUAUCAAGAUUCAUCUACAGGGGACAAUGUUUGGAUGACCUUAGGAUGAUAAUAGACUUAUCCCACACGUCAGUAUUAAGUGUGGUCUGAAGUCGCUCCCAAUACCUGACUUAAGCAUGGCGGACACAGAGAAUCCACAACCCACCUGCUAAAGUUGUUGCCAGCACUAGAACCACCAAAGGGAAGACAAGACAUCGAUGGUGCAGCAGGAGGAGGACCCAGGCUUGGUAUUUGGCUGAACUCACCUCUGGUUGACCUCUGAGGCAGAAGGGGAAGCACCUUUUGCUUCCACUGAGAGAAACUGGAAAGUCACAUGACCGAAGGUGUAAGACUGCCAGGACUAGGAAGCAGUGAAGAGGGCACAAGAAGACAUCGGACACCCUGGAACUGGGGUUAACGAUGGUUGGGAGCUGCCAUGUAUGGCUGGGAAUUAAGCCUGGGUUCACGAUCAUCUGUAACUAUAAUUCCGGGGGUCUGCUGCUCUGUUCUGGCACCUUGGGCACUGUGUACAUGUGGUACAUUUACAUCCAUGCAGGCAAAACUCUUAUACACAUAGAAUAAAAACCAUCAAGAAACAUUGAG
RNAcentral lists this long non-coding RNA (682 nucleotides) under Rattus norvegicus (Norway rat). RNAcentral's name for it is "long non-coding RNA NONRATT020815". Lineage: Eukaryota; Metazoa; Chordata; Mammalia; Rodentia; Muridae. The record is from RNAcentral.